RNAcentral lists this ribosomal RNA (440 nucleotides) under uncultured bacterium. RNAcentral's name for it is "partial 16S ribosomal RNA". It matches the Rfam family "Bacterial small subunit ribosomal RNA", at positions 338 to 795 of the family's 1533-position model. The record is from RNAcentral.
CCUACGGGUGGCAGCAGUGGGGAAUAUUGGACAAUGGGGGAAACCCUGAUCCAGCGACGCCGCGUGAGUGAAGAAGUAUUUCGGUACGUAAAGCUCUAUCAGCAGGAAAGAAAAUGACGGUACCUGACUAAGACGCCCCGGCUAACUACGUGCCAGCCGCCGCGGUAAUACGUAGGGGGCUAGCGUUAUCCGGAUUUACUGGGUGUAAAGGGAGCGUAGACGGCAGCGCAAGUCUGGAGUGAAAUGCCGGGGCUCAACCCCGGAACUGCUCUGGAAACUGUGAAGCUGGAGUGCAGGAGAGGUAAGCGGAAUUCCUGGUGUAGCGGUGAAAUGCGUAGAUAUCAGGAGGAACACCGGCGGCGAAGGCGGCUUACUGGACUGUAACUGACGUUGAGGCUCGAAGGCGUGGGGAGCAAACAGGAUUAGAUACCCGGGUAGUC